Sphaeramia orbicularis (orbiculate cardinalfish) is the source of this 542-nucleotide long non-coding RNA. RefSeq lists it as uncharacterized. The record is from RefSeq and is a predicted model, not a curated record. The transcript is spliced from 3 exons. NCBI's taxonomy places the organism in Eukaryota, Metazoa, Chordata, Actinopteri, Kurtiformes, Apogonidae.
AGUUAGCUUAGCUUAGUCAGCUAGUCAACCACAUGGGGUCAUAGCCAUGGGAAUCAUACUGGUUUAGAAUAGGCUGUUAAAUAUACGUUUUUGUAAAAUUUUACUUGAGUAGAGAGGCAACGGCGAAAAUCAGGGUGUAACUCAAGAACGAUGACAUUGGUUGUUACAAAAAUAGAGAGUACAGUAAGUUGGAUUGAGUUCCUCUGAUCGUCAGGACACAUUCUUCCAUAGAGAAGAGGUAGCCAGGAAUGACCUCCAGGCUCUGAUGAAUGGCUUUAGGAUGGUAAACCAUGACUGCCACUGAAGCAGGACCUUGGAAAACAUCAAUUCUCUAACUAAACUCUUUGUUCAAAUGGUAAUAUCAUGAAAAUAUAAAGUUAUUAAUAGUAAAAUGUUUCUUUUCCAUCUACAGCUCCCAAUUGGAGAACAGUGCUUCGUGCCACAUCUAAUCUCAAAGCCACAUGAUGUAUGUCAAAGUAAUACAACUCAAUUUUGUUUUGUUCUGAACUCUUCAAAAUAAAACUUGUGUGGACAAACAAAAA